Molecule: long non-coding RNA, 1716 nt
Organism: Magnolia sinica
Lineage: Eukaryota; Viridiplantae; Streptophyta; Magnoliopsida; Magnoliales; Magnoliaceae
Exons: 3
Source: RefSeq, a predicted model, not a curated record
CUCUCACGCGCUCUCCCUUUCCCUCUCCCUCUCCCUCUCCGCUCGCUCUCCCCUCACUCUCACUCUCCCUAUCAAUCUCUCUCAGAUAUUCUUUUCAAGCAUUAAGGUUUUGAUCUUUUUUUUUUUUCUCUUCUUUCUUGAAGCUGUUCGAGUGAUAUGCAGAGAUUGGGUGAAUUGCUCUUGUAAACUGCGGAAAAGACUCCCAACUCUACAUCUAUCAGCACCCGUUCUCAAUUACUUCAGCUCCUAGAGAUGAUUACCUGAGCAUCCACAUCCGGCAGCUGGCUGAUUGGACACGAGAGCUCACAAGGGUCUUCUCCGAGGUAUGUGAGCCUCCAGUAGCAGGUAAAAGUGGGCUUCUAAGAGCUGAUGAAACCACCAAGAAAAGUUUGCCAAAGCUCUUGAUAGAUGGGCCUUAUGGAGCUCCUGCUCAGGAUUAUCGUAAAUAUGAUGUCUUGUUACUCGUAGGAUUAGGAAUAGGAGCAACGCCUUUCAUCAGUAUAUUGAAAGAUUUGCUCAACAAUAUCAUAAAAUAGCAGAGCAAGCAGUGAGUAUAUUUUAGUCAAAGCUAAUGAAAAUGAAAAAAGGAAAAAAGUAAAAAAGAUGGAAAUAUAGUGGUAGGAAGAAUUUAUUAACCACUCGAAUUUGCUGUUUUUAGGAUUCCAACUCGAAUUUUAGCCAGGCAACUGAUUCGUAUGCUGGAACAAGCGAUUAGAGCUCUGUUAAUAAGAUGUCUCCAAAACGGAAGAAACCUUUAAAGACAACCAAUGCCUAUUUCUACUGGGUGACCCGGGAACAAGGUUCCUUUGACUGGUUCAAGGGUGUCAUGAAUGAAGUUGCUGAUCUUGAUCACAGGGUAGAAAGGAAGCUCAAUUCUUGAUCGAUAUAAUCCCUCUUCUACUCUUAUGUAUGAAAUAAAGGGCUAUUUAUUGAUGUUGGGAUUCUACUGUAAAUAAAAUGAAAUGACUAAGGGGAAUAUCCUAAGCAGGAGGAAUAUGGUACAACAGUAAAAAAUGAGUAAUGUUGCAUUAGGUGUAAAUUGUAAUUACCAAGUGAGAGAAUAUGGUGAUCUAUAAUUACCUGAAAUUUCAUUUACCAAACAUGAAAAGGAGUAUCAUAUCAUAGACAAUACCAAGAAGUUCCCAAAAAAUAAAAGACAUUGAAGUGGAAUAUGCAAAAGAACUCGAACUUGGUACCGAAGACCUAGAGAAAAAUCUUGCUCUUAUUCUGAAAAUUUUUAUUAGUUUGAUUAAACUAAGACAAUAUUCAUUAUCAUACAUAAGAGUAGAAGAGGGGUUAUAUCGAUGGGACCUUGACAUUUGGCUGCAUUGACCCAUGACAUCAACAACAGGGAUUGUUGGACCGAUGACCAUCUAUUUGUCCAGCUUUUUCAUGGGUAUUUACAUAUUUCCAACACUAUCAUUUUUGACUUGCCAUCUGCUAGCAUCCAACCUGUUUUGAUAAGAUUAGAUCCAAAACUGUUGUGACCCACAAAUAAUAAAAAAAAUGUUUAUAAUGGUCUUCCACCACUGUUUUGUAUGUUGUGGUCCACCUGAAACUAGUUCAAUCUUGUUUGGCUGUAUUUUCUCCACAAUUCAGUUUAUGAGGAUUCUUUUCAAAACAUGACUCUUAUUAGUGGCACAUGCAUACAGUGUAACAGGAAUACAGGACGGAGAAGAAAAUAUGGGGUCACACGGGCCAUAUUAAUUGUUUACA